This is a long non-coding RNA of Pseudopipra pipra, 524 nucleotides long. RefSeq lists it as uncharacterized. The transcript is spliced from 3 exons. Lineage: Eukaryota; Metazoa; Chordata; Aves; Passeriformes; Pipridae. The record is from RefSeq and is a predicted model, not a curated record.
CGGGACCGCUCCUUCACCCCUCGCUUACCUUUUCCCCUCGCCUCGGCAAAGGAGAAGCGAACCUGCAGCGGGAAGGACGAGGCUCCUGCGGCUCAGCCCUCACCUGCGCAGGGAGGGAUAACUGUGCUCCUUCUGGAACUGCUGCUUGUCUGUUUUUACAUUCCCCCUCCACCCAAGCUGCCACCUGCCCUGCCGUGGGUGAGUGCCGGGAUGCAGCCCCCGUGCCCGGGAGCAGACCCAGCUCUGCCCUCGGCGCUGCCGCAGCCGAUGCUCUCCCACAUCCAUCCCCUCGCCCCCUGGAACCAGCACUUGUCCCUCACUGCUGCUGUCACUGCCCUCUCUUUCUCCAUUGCAUGUGCUCUACUGUCUUCACAAGACCCAGGCAGACCAUAAGGAAGGUGAGUAAAGUACAGCUGGGGCCCAUAAAAGUUAUCCAGUUCACUGUUGCAGUGACUUUCAGCAAGUAAAUCACAUUCCAGCAACAAUUAUCCUUGUUUACCAGCAAAACCUUACCUGCUGUUGUC